This 437-nucleotide long non-coding RNA is filed under the name Pan troglodytes (chimpanzee). RNAcentral describes it as "long non-coding RNA NONPTRT011164". Lineage: Eukaryota; Metazoa; Chordata; Mammalia; Primates; Hominidae. The record is from RNAcentral.
UUGAACACUAGGAGAAUCUGAACAUGAACCAAUUACUAAACAACAUUAAGGAAUUACUGUUAAUUUUCUUUUGCAUGACAACAGUAAUGUGGUUUUGUAAAAUUAUAUUUUUCUGUUAGCACAACCCGUUUCUAUAUUGUUAUUAUUGUAGCUCUGUAGCAUUCUUAUGAACUAGAGAAUUUAAUGAAAUUUAAACUGAAAUGCUCCCACAUAACUUUGGAUAAAUGGCCUAUAUUUUUCACAUUAGAACUCAAGUCAAUUUUCAACUCUUUACCUACUGUAACUUUUUUGUAAUUCUCCUAAAUUUAUCAAUAUGUGUGCACACAUGUGUAUUUAUGUUAUAUAUAUCAAACAUUAUUACCUUUAACAGGAACAAUGGAAAAACUGGCCUUGAUCAUUGAUCAGUAAAUAAUCAGCUUACAAGAAAUCACAAAAUA